GUGAGGAAUAUUGCGCAAUGGAGGCAACUCUGACGCAGCCAUGCCGCGUGCAGGAAGAAGGCGCUACGCGUUGUAAACUGCUUUUAACCGGGAAGAAACCCUAGGACGUGUCCUGGGUUGACGGUACCGGAGGAAUAAGCACCGGCUAACUUCGUGCCAGCAGCCGCGGUAAUACGAAGGGUGCAAGCGUUAUCCGGAUUCAUUGGGUUUAAAGGGUGCGUAGGCGGAGCGUUAAGUCAGUGGUGAAAUCCUGCAGCUUAACUGUAGACUUGCCAUUGAUACUGGCGCUCUUGAGUGCGCUUGAAGUGGGCGGAAUGUGCCGUGUAGCGGUGAAAUGCUUAGAUAUGGCACAGAACACCAAUUGCGAAGGCAGCUCACUAAGGCGAUACUGACGCUGAGGCACGAAAGCGUGGGGAUCGAACAGGAUUAGAAACCCGAGUAGUCC
Molecule: ribosomal RNA, 445 nt
Filed under: uncultured bacterium
Lineage: Bacteria
Description: partial 16S ribosomal RNA
Rfam family: Bacterial small subunit ribosomal RNA
Source: RNAcentral